This 489-nucleotide ribosomal RNA is filed under the name uncultured bacterium. RNAcentral's name for it is "partial 16S ribosomal RNA". It matches the Rfam family "Bacterial small subunit ribosomal RNA", at positions 30 to 506 of the family's 1533-position model. The record is from RNAcentral.
AUUGAACGCUGGCGGCAGGCCUAACACAUGCAAGUCGAACGGUAACAGGAAGAAGCUUGCUUCUUUGCUGACGAGUGGCGGACGGGUGAGUAAUGUCUGAGAAACUGCCUGAUGGAGGGGGAUAACUACUGGAAACGGUAGCUAAUACCGCAUAACGUCGCAAGACCAAAGAGGGCGACCUUCGGGCCUCUUGCCAUCGGAUGUGCCCAGAUGGGAUUAGCUAGUAGGUGGGGUAACGGCUCACCUAGGCGACGAUCCCUAGCUGGUCUGAGAGGAUGACCCGCCCCACUGGAACUGGGCACCGGUCCAGACCCCCUGGGGGGGCAGAGGGGGGGAAUUUUGCCCAAGGGGCGAAAGCCUGCGGCAGCCCUGCCGGGUUGAUGAAGAAGGCCUUCGGGUUGUAAAGUUCUUUCCGGGGGGGGGAAGGGAGUAAAGUUAAUACCUUGGCUCAUUGCCGUUCCCCGCAAAAGAAGCCCCGGCUAACCCCGU